Molecule: ribosomal RNA, 486 nt
Filed under: uncultured bacterium
Lineage: Bacteria
Description: bacterial SSU rRNA
Rfam family: Bacterial small subunit ribosomal RNA
Source: RNAcentral
ACUCAAAUGAAUUGACGGGGGCCCGCACAAGCAGCGGAGCGUGUGGUUUAAUUCGAUGAUACGCGAAGAACCUUACCAGGGUUUGACAUACAAGUGGUAGAGAAAGGAAACUGGACCGACCCUUCGGGGAGCUUGAACAGGUGCUGCAUGGCUGUCGUCAGCUCGUGUCGUGAGAUGUUCGGUUAAGUCCGCUAACGAGCGCAACCCUUGUUGUGUGUUACAAGUAUCACGCAAGACCGCCGGUAGAAAGCCGGAGGAAGGUGGGGAUGACGUCAAGUCAGCAUGGCCUAUAUAUCCUGGGCUACACACACGCUACAAUGAUCGGUACAAUGGGUCGCGAAGCCGCGAGGCGGAGCCAAUCCUAAAAAGCCGGUCUCAGUGCAGAUUGCAGGCUGCAACUCGCCUGCAUGAAGAUGGAGUUGCUAGUAACCGCAGGUCAGCGAUACUGCGGUGAAUACGUUCCCGGGCCUUGUACACACCGCCCGU